GAUCCUGGCUCAGGAUGAACGCUGGCGGCGUGCUUAACACAUGCAAGUCGAACGGACUUUACAUGAAGCCUAGCGAUUGUAAAGUUAGUGGCGGACGGGUGAGUAACGCGUGAAUAACCUGCCCUGUACCGGGGGACAACAGUUGGAAACGGCUGCUAAUACCGCAUAAGCGCACGGUUCCGCAUGGAACAGUGUGAAAAACUCCGGUGGUACAGGAUGGAUUCGCGUCUGAUUAGCCAGUUGGUGGGG
This 249-nucleotide ribosomal RNA is filed under the name uncultured bacterium. RNAcentral describes it as "partial 16S ribosomal RNA". It matches the Rfam family "Bacterial small subunit ribosomal RNA", at positions 15 to 257 of the family's 1533-position model. The record is from RNAcentral.